GCAUGCCCUCAACAUAGUGUUGAUGCACUGGAUCCCAUUAGAACUCUGUAGUUAAGUGCACUCGAGCUAGAGUAGUAUUGGGAUGGGUGACCACCCAGGAAGUCCUAGUGUUUUACAUGCC
Molecule: non-coding RNA, 121 nt
Organism: Picea glauca (white spruce)
Lineage: Eukaryota; Viridiplantae; Streptophyta; Pinopsida; Pinales; Pinaceae
Source: Rfam